This 331-nucleotide ribosomal RNA is filed under the name uncultured bacterium. Its description in RNAcentral is "bacterial SSU rRNA". It matches the Rfam family "Bacterial small subunit ribosomal RNA", at positions 568 to 898 of the family's 1533-position model. The record is from RNAcentral.
CGUUGUAGGCGGCUCAUCAAGUCUGGUGUGAAAGAGCUGGGCUUAACCCAGCGUAUGCGCUGGAAACUGGUGGGCUUGAGUGCCGGAGGGGAAGCUGGAAUUCCAGGUGUAGGGGUGAAAUCUGUAGAUAUCUGGAAGAACACCGGUGGCGAAGGCGAGCUUCUAUCCGAGGACUGACGCUGAGGCGCGAAAGCGUGGGGAGCAAACAGGAUUAGAUACCCUGGUAGUCCACGCUGUAAACGAUGUGCACUAGGCGUGGGGCACGUACGUGUUCUGUGCCGUAGUUAACGUGUUAAGUGCACCGCCUGGGGAGUAUGCUCGCAAGGGUGAA